Molecule: ribosomal RNA, 253 nt
Filed under: uncultured bacterium
Lineage: Bacteria
Description: partial 16S ribosomal RNA
Rfam family: Bacterial small subunit ribosomal RNA
Source: RNAcentral
UACAGAGGUCUCAAGCGUUGUUCGGAUUCAUUGGGCGUAAAGGGUGCGUAGGCGGCGCGGUAAGUCGGGUGUGAAAUCUUGGAGCUUAACUCCGAAACUGCAUUCGAUACUGCCGUGCUUGAGGACUGGAGAGGAGACUGGAAUUCCCGGUGUAGUGGUGAAAUGCGUAGAUAUCGUGAGGAAGACCAGUGGCGAAGGCGGAUCUCUGGACAGUUCCUGACGCUGAGGCGCGAAGGCCAGGGGAGCAAACGGG